UUGCGACGCGAAAGCUAGCCAGAUGAUUGUCCCACUAGCCCAACAAGCUAGAACGGGACCGGUUGUUCCCCCAACCGUAGCCUAGGGAGGCAUGCGUGACUGGUAACGGUCAGGUGUGAAGCCCUCCCGACAAUGUAGCCCGAACCGCAAGGUUGAAGCUGAAUCCGUGAGGAGGAAGCAACUUCACCAGUGUCAGGUGAUAGGGAACUAGGCUUGAGGGUAUGGUGAGCACAUGCGAAGUGAUGUCAGAAGCCUCGUCACAGACCAACAGGCCAAAGACACUGAUAGGCCUGAGCCAAAACGGCAAAUGGAUAGGCUACAUCGCUCGCUCGUCGGUGUACGGGGACGUCAAUCCAUCGGGGCACAGUCACCACCUAACCCCUCGUGUCAUCUGGUUGGAACGCGGUAAGCCCGUAUCCUCGCCUUGAACACUCAAGGCAGGCAAACCGUAAGGAAUGCUGAUGGGGGUGCGGGUAUGGGAUGCAGGAGAAAGCGAAUGCCGGUCUGUAAUGGACCGGAUAGGGGUUGAGGAGACAAUCCAACAUCACCCCGCCCGAAAGGGAGCAGACUUCCUGCUGGUCUCUCUUUGCGAGAUAGCCUGUAGAACCUCUUGAAUGGAGACAAGGCAAAUGGCAGUGGAACAAACCACUGGUGCGGUCACCAACCAAACGGAAACAAGCUGGCACAGCAUAGACUGGGCCAAAGCCAACCGUGAGGUAAAGAGGCUGCAAGUGCGUAUCGCAAAGGCGUUCGCGCCGGUUCCUCUUGAAAGAGGGGCUUUGAGAGGCCUGAGCCGGAUGUGGGGAAACUCACAAGUCCGGUUCUUAGGGGGCGGGGAUGGCAGUAAUGCCUCCCUGCUACCCGGC
This 866-nucleotide non-coding RNA is filed under the name Thermosynechococcus vestitus. The record is from RNAcentral. Lineage: Bacteria; Bacillati; Cyanobacteriota; Cyanophyceae; Acaryochloridales; Thermosynechococcaceae.